GUGACUGCGUACCUUUUGUAUAAUGGGUCAGCGACUUAUAUUCUGUAGCAAGGUUAACCGAAUAGGGGAGCCGGAGGGAAACCGAGUCUUAAUUGGGCGUUAAGUUGCAGGGUAUAGACCCGAAACCCGGUGAUCUAGCCAUGGGCAGGUUGAAGGUUGGGUAACACUAACUGGAGGACCGAACCGACUAAUGUUGAAAAAUUAGCGGAUGACCUGUGGCUGGGGGUGAAAGGCCAAUCAAACCGGGAGAUAGCUGGUUCUCCCCGAAAGCUAUUUAGGUAGCGCCUCGUGAAYUCAUCUCCGGGGGUAGAGCACUGUUUCGGCUAGGGGGCCAUCCCGGCUUACCAACCCGAUGCAAACUGCGAAUACCGGAGAAUGUUAUCACGGGAGACACACGGCGGGUGCUAACGUCCGUCGUGAAGAGGGAAACAACCCAGACCGCCAGCUAAGGUCCCAAAGUCAUGGUUAAGUGGGAAACGAUGUGGGAAGGCCCAGACAGCCAGGAUGUUGGCUUAGAAGCAGCCAUCAUUUAAAGAAAGCGUA
RNAcentral lists this ribosomal RNA (543 nucleotides) under Salmonella enterica. Its description in RNAcentral is "partial 23S ribosomal RNA". Lineage: Bacteria; Pseudomonadati; Pseudomonadota; Gammaproteobacteria; Enterobacterales; Enterobacteriaceae. The record is from RNAcentral.